Molecule: transfer RNA, 75 nt
Filed under: Sphaerodactylus townsendi
Lineage: Eukaryota; Metazoa; Chordata; Lepidosauria; Squamata; Sphaerodactylidae
Description: tRNA-Gly
Source: RNAcentral
GGACAGGAUGUAGCUCAGUGGUAGAGAAUCUACUUGCCAUGCAAAAAGUCCCAAGUUCAGUCCCUGGAAUCUCCA